AAAACUCAGAGCCAGAUAUCCCUCAGUCCAGAACACUCCUUCAUCCUGAAGUUUUCCUUUAAUGACUGAUCUAUAUCUGCUCUGUUCAGUGGCUGCCUUGUCAGGAUUUUCAGGAGGGAGGCCAUGCAAGCUGAGUGCUGCGCUGAGUGCAUGCAAGCUGAGUGAUGCACAGGGACUCCUGCACUUCAAAGAAGACCCACAAGUUCAGUCUGUCCAGAGCAUCCUGCACUGGAACACACACACCAACCACCCACUCCAGAAACAGGUGUGCAGCUGCCACUGAAAUCAACUGGAAAUGUACCUCUGUGGCUGAGGACAAAACAUGACCUCUGAGCAAUUGCUAGCAGGCAAGAAAACACUGCACAGAAAGCAGCCUCCUUUUCAAGGAGCUUAAGAAACAUUGAUUGCAGCUUGCCAGGAACUGGACAAAACAGUAAAUCCCUUGACUACCUGUUAUUUAUGGACAGAGUGAGGAAAAAGGUUUGUUUGAUUGGAAUAAUCUUCAUAGUUUUAAUGAUCCAGUGUAAGCUGUCAACAAGAUUUUGCGGGAUUUCUUCAGAUUUUUAGUGUCUUUGCUUUGUUUGUGCUGUUUGCAUCCAAAGGCCUAGGAUUUCCUGUAUCCCCCUGCUUCAGAAAUGUGCAGUAAUUGAUAGACACCUGGGCUCAAGGAGAUAAUAGCAUCACAGAAUGAUCUGAGUUGGAAGGGACUCUUAAAGGUCACCUUGUCCAACUCCCUACAACGAACAGAUACAUGGUACAUGAAGUUGCAUGGCAUUCCUUUCAUCUUCUGUAUAUGAAACACUACAUGGUAGCAUUUGCUGGAAGGAAAAUACUACAGUUUUGUUAAAAACAAGUUCAUAGAUUUCCCUCAUAAUCUCUUGUUAUGUGAGGGAAGUUUAGCCUGUGACAACUGAGAAGGUAAGAGAGAUGCUAAAGACAAGGAAUGCACGUUGAAAAGAAUGUGACUACUAAAGCACUGUUUAAAGGGAUGGUGCCAUUUGGGGCAGUUUCCUCCUCUUCUGUUUUGUUUUCACUUUUUGUGAUGAAUUCCUUAUGUAUUCAGCCUUUUCAGUCCUUAAUUUCUAACCACUGCUUUAUUCUUUAUAAAUAAAUAAAUAAGUCUCUUCCAGAAUAAAAUGGCUUUGGUCAUGCAGCCUCUUUUAUUUAUUGUC
Molecule: long non-coding RNA, 1172 nt
Organism: Lagopus muta (rock ptarmigan)
Lineage: Eukaryota; Metazoa; Chordata; Aves; Galliformes; Phasianidae
Exons: 3
Source: RefSeq, a predicted model, not a curated record